AUACGGAAGGUCCGGGCGUUAUCCGGAUUUAUUGGGUUUAAAGGGAGCGCAGGCGGAGAUGCAAGCGUGACGUCAAAUUUCGGGGCUCAACCCCGUCUCGCGUCGCGAACUGCGUCCCUUGGUUGCGGGAAGGGGAGGCGGAACUCGUGGUGUAGCGGUGAAAUGCAUAGAUAUCACGAAGAACUCCGAUCGCGAAGGCAGCCUUCCGGCCCGUCAACGACGCUCAUGCUCGAAGGUGCGGGUAUCAAACAGGAUUAGAUACCCUGGUAGUCCGCACAGUAAACGAUGGACACCCGCGAUUUGGCCUAUAUGGCUGAGCCGCCAAGCGAAAGCGUUAAGUGUCCCACCUGGGGAGUACGCCGGCAACGGUGAAACUCAAAUGAAUUGACGGGG
This 393-nucleotide ribosomal RNA is filed under the name uncultured bacterium. RNAcentral describes it as "partial 16S ribosomal RNA". It matches the Rfam family "Bacterial small subunit ribosomal RNA", at positions 523 to 918 of the family's 1533-position model. The record is from RNAcentral.